GGACAGGGAAAGAUCAGGUCCCAGCGAGCCUGUCGUCCCACACAGUGCACUCUCUGCGGAGGCUGACAGGAGUGGUGUGCAAUCGGGGUUCAACGGCACCAGCACUGAACAUCUGCCGACCUUUCCCCAGCUCCUGCAGGCAGCUUAUCAAGAACUCUGUGGCUGUUUACAGGUGUGUUUAUGAUGUCAGAGCUCGAGCUUGGCCAAGGGAACAGACCAGCCCGGCUGCGGAGAGACUAUCUGGCGAUUCUGUCCCCUAGAGAAGGCCGGGCGAGCCUUCCAGCAGCUGUGGGGUUUUGUCACCAGUCCUUUUGUUGAACAGAGAUGCCCAUUAUGUACACACUGGAGUCACCUGGGAGCUUUUUAAAAAUUCAGAUAUUCAGGCCCUUCCCCAAUCCAAUUACACAAGAGUCUCGGGUGGAGCCUGAGCCUCUGGGUUUUUAAAAGCUCGCAGGCUCAUUGCAAGGCUGAGACCGCCGUCACAGAAGGAUCUGCAGAACCCUUAGUGAGGACCCGGGGACUUCCCUGCACCCAUGAGCCAGCAAGACCGGCCAAGGCUGCCAGCCGGGCAGGGUGAUAAGCAGUUCCAGAGGCCAAGCGCAGACCACUGGUGGUCACUGGUAGCUGCUGAGAGGCCCCCCAGAGCCUAAAGCAGAGGUCACUGCAAGCCUGAUGCUUGCACAAGACGGUCCCAGGCGUGGAGAGGGAGAACACUGGCUGCCAGCUCACCCGAUCCUUCCCAGAACAUUUAUGAAGAACUUACUCUGUGGAGGAGCCCUGGAGAUGCAGAGAGAAGGGAGAAACUCUGUCUGGACACAUACACUCAUCAUGCCAAAAUCCACAUAGCAAGCACUGGGCUAGAGGUCUGGGCCAGAGCUAAGAAAAUCCCGAGCAGGGGAGGAGACCGGGCACACCCAGGCCAUCCUCUGAGGAGGACAGUGUGCAGGCUUCCUCUGUGCUCACGGACACACGGUCUGCAACCUCAGCACUGAGCGUUCCCUCCCAGACCGGGUUUCGGCUCGUCCAAGGAAGGCUGGGUUUUCGUUCGACCAUGCUUUCCUCUUUUUCUUGUUUUAAAACAAGACAGAUGUAGAAAAUCUGCCACAUGAAUAUAAACUCUACCAUUGAAGAUAUUCCUUACACCAUUGUUUAGUUCCCCCAAAGAAAUAGUGCACUUUUUAUGAGGAUGCAGAUGACAAAUUCCUAUGAAGAAAUGAGUGCACCAAAGUUUUUCUCUUUGGAAGAAGCGGCAUGCUUUCUCGUGGAAUGCGAAAAAGAAAUAGUCAGUUUGUUCCUGCCCCCACCCUUUUUGCUUUGGCUGCCAGUAAACUCAGAGUUAAAUUUAAUGCUCAGUUAUACUUCUUGGGAUUUUUUUUCUAUUAUGUAAUUCUGUGUAUUAAAAAUGAUGUACAAGGA
Phyllostomus hastatus (greater spear-nosed bat) is the source of this 1416-nucleotide long non-coding RNA. RefSeq lists it as uncharacterized. The record is from RefSeq and is a predicted model, not a curated record. The transcript is spliced from 3 exons. NCBI's taxonomy places the organism in Eukaryota, Metazoa, Chordata, Mammalia, Chiroptera, Phyllostomidae.